AUUGAACGCUGGCGGCAUGCUUUACACAUGCAAGUCGAACGGUAACAGGCCGCAAGGUGCUGACGAGUGGCGAACGGGUGAGUAAUGCAUCGGAACGUGCCCAGUCGUGGGGGAUAACUACUCGAAAGAGUAGCUAAUACCGCAUACGAUCUAUGGAUGAAAGCGGGGGACCGUAAGGCCUCGCGCGAUUGGAGCGGCCGAUGUCAGAUUAGGUAGUUGGUGGGGUAAAGGCUCACCAAGCCAACGAUCUGUAGCUGGUCUGAGAGGACGACCAGCCACACUGGGACUGAGACACGGCCCAGACUCCUACGGGAGGCAGCAGUGGGGAAUUUUGGACAAUGGGCGCAAGCCUGAUCCAGCAAUGCCGCGUGCAGGAAGAAGGCCUGCGGGUUGUAAACUGCUUUUGUACGGAACGAAACGGCUCUGGUUAAUACCCGGGGCUAAUGACGGUACCGUAAGAAUAAGCACCGGCUAACUACGU
RNAcentral lists this ribosomal RNA (481 nucleotides) under uncultured bacterium. RNAcentral's name for it is "partial 16S ribosomal RNA". It matches the Rfam family "Bacterial small subunit ribosomal RNA", at positions 30 to 506 of the family's 1533-position model. The record is from RNAcentral.